UUUCCGUAGGUGAACCUGCGGAAGGAUCAUUAACGGCUAAAAGAGAAGGAUGCGCAAGCACCCUUUCUACUUUGGUUCUGUUUGCGGCAAGUCCCGUGAGACCGGCUUGGACGGCUACGGGCGGCUCUGACCACUUGUGGUUGGGGCGACAACGAUGCUAUCGAGCUGCAGUGGGCUCGGCUCGAAAGAGUUACGGCGUUGUUAGUGUUCCAGCUCUCAAAAACUUGGUUGGGUGCUCUAUCCUGGUCUAUCCUGGCCAGGGCAGCGUCGUUGCUGGCGAUGCUGCGAGCCGUAAGGGCGGCGUGCUACCACUGUCGCCGACGCCCAGCCAAGGCGCCCUUUUAGGGUUGCCGUUCUAUUUUACUUAUCGAGUCUUUUCUUGAUAAAGCCGUAUAUUGGUUAAUUACUGAGAGACUUACUCUGAGCGGUGGAUCACUCGGCUCGU
This 445-nucleotide unclassified non-coding RNA is filed under the name plant metagenome. Its description in RNAcentral is "partial contains small subunit ribosomal RNA, internal transcribed spacer 1, and 5.8S ribosomal RNA". The record is from RNAcentral.